GACGAACGCUGGCGGCGUGCUUAACACAUGCAAGUCGAACGGUAAGGCCCUUCGGGGUACACGAGUGGCGAACGGGUGAGUAACACGUGGGUGAUCUGCCCUGCACUUCGGGAUAAGCCUGGGAAACUGGGUCUAAUACCGGAUAGGACCACUGCCUGCAUGGGUGGUGGUGGAAAGCUUUUGGGGGGUGGGAUGGGGCCGCGGCCUAGCAGCUUGUUGGUGGGGUGAUGGCCUACCAAGGGGACGACGGGUAGCCGGCCUGAGAGGGUGACCGGCCACACUGGGACUGAGAUACGGCCCAGACUCCUACGGGAGGCAGCAGUGGGGAAUAUUGCACAAUGGGCGCAAGCCUGAUGCAGCGACGCCGCGUGAGGGAUGACGGCCUUCGGGUUGUAAACCUCUAUCAGCACCGACGAAGCGCAAGUGACGGUAGGUGCAGAAGAAGGACCGGCCAACUACGUGCCAGCCGCCGCCGUAA
This 478-nucleotide ribosomal RNA is filed under the name uncultured bacterium. RNAcentral's name for it is "partial 16S ribosomal RNA". It matches the Rfam family "Bacterial small subunit ribosomal RNA", at positions 28 to 523 of the family's 1533-position model. The record is from RNAcentral.